GAUGAACGCUGGCGGCGUGCCUAAUACAUGCAAGUCGAGCGAACGGACGAGAAGCUUGCUUCUCUGAUGUUAGCGGCGGACGGGUGAGUAACACGUGGAUAACCUACCUAUAAGACUGGGAUAACUUCGGGAAACCGGAGCUAAUACCGGAUAAUCUUUUGCACCGCAUGGUUCAAAAGUGAAAGACGGUCUUGCUGUCACUUAUAGAUGGAUCCGCGCUGCAUUAGCUAGUUGGUAAGGUAACGGCUUACCAAGGCAACGAUGCAUAGCCGACCUGAGAGGGUGAUCGGCCACACUGGAACUGAGACACGGUCCAGACUCCUACGGGAGGCAGCAGUAGGGAAUCUGCCGCAAUGGGCGAAAGCCUGACGGAGCAACGCCGCGUGAGUGAUGAAGGUCUUCGGAUCGUAAAACUCUGUUAUUAGGGAAGAACAGAUGUGUAAGUAACUGUGCACAUCUUGACGGUACUUAAUCAGAAAGCCACGGCUAACUACGUG
This 497-nucleotide ribosomal RNA is filed under the name uncultured bacterium. RNAcentral's name for it is "partial 16S ribosomal RNA". It matches the Rfam family "Bacterial small subunit ribosomal RNA", at positions 28 to 507 of the family's 1533-position model. The record is from RNAcentral.